UACGUAGGGGGCAAGCGUUGUCCGGAAUCAUUGGGCGUAAAGAGCGCGUAGGCGGCCCUGUAAGUCCGCUGUGAAAGUCAAGGGCUCAACCCUUGAAUGCCGGUGGAUACUGCAGGGCUAGAGUCCGGAAGAGGCGAGUGGAAUUCCUGGUGUAGCGGUGAAAUGCGCAGAUAUCAGGAGGAACACCGAUGGCGAAGGCAGCUCGCUGGGACGUGACUGACGCUGAGACGCGAAAGCGUGGGGAGCGAACAGG
RNAcentral lists this ribosomal RNA (253 nucleotides) under uncultured bacterium. RNAcentral describes it as "partial 16S ribosomal RNA". It matches the Rfam family "Bacterial small subunit ribosomal RNA", at positions 524 to 776 of the family's 1533-position model. The record is from RNAcentral.